UACGUAGGGUCCGAGCGUUGUCCGGAAUUAUUGGGCGUAAAGGGCUCGUAGGCGGUUUGUCACGUCGGGAGUGAAAACUCAGGGCUCAACCCUGAGCGUGCUUCCGAUACGGGCAGACUAGAGGUAUGCAGGGGAGAACGGAAUUCCUGGUGUAGCGGUGGAAUGCGCAGAUAUCAGGAGGAACACCGGUGGCGAAGGCGGUUCUCUGGGCCGUAACUGACGCUGAGGAGCGAAAGCGUGGGGAGCGAACAGG
RNAcentral lists this ribosomal RNA (253 nucleotides) under uncultured bacterium. Its description in RNAcentral is "partial 16S ribosomal RNA". It matches the Rfam family "Bacterial small subunit ribosomal RNA", at positions 524 to 776 of the family's 1533-position model. The record is from RNAcentral.